AUACCCCCGGAAGAAGUUCUGGAUUGAAAAGCCUAUCAGUCCUGCAAUCAGAAAACGGAUAGAAGAAUUUUCAGAUAAACUUCUUUGUUUAGAGAAAGGACUCAGAGGAUUCCAUGGAAAAUUGAUGAGGGAUCUGGAAUAUAAGACAAAUUGGAGUUGCUCUGGAUCAUGAUGGUGGGACGGUAACCUUUACCAAUGCCAGAACUCAAGAGUUCAUCUAUGAAUUCUCAUCUGCCUUCACUGGGAGAAUUUUCCCUUUCCUGUGGCUUAACUGCAUGAGAUCCAGACUUAUGCUGAGACCCUGAGAGAGGAUCUCCUGGCACAGCCCCACGUUUUGUCAUUUACCCUUUGUUCCUUUUCAUCAGUCCCAGCUGUGCCUCAGCUGGAUGGUCCUGCUGGGUUUCUGAUUACACUCAGAUGACUGGAGCUUUAUGGCAGUCAUGAGUCUCUUGUCCUCGCAGCUUUCUCUCUAAAAUGGGGACAGUAAUAGUUGAUCUUUUUUCUCUAAGGGGAAUGGUUGGAAUGUCUUUAAUGUACUUAUUAAAAUGUGUCUUAACUAAUUUAUCUCUUCUGUUGCCUUUGAUUUGGUUCUUCACC
Long non-coding RNA from Bos taurus (domestic cattle), 597 nucleotides. NCBI's taxonomy places the organism in Eukaryota, Metazoa, Chordata, Mammalia, Artiodactyla, Bovidae. The record is from Ensembl.